GCAAACUUGGUCAUUUAGAGGAAGUAAAAGUCGUAACAAGGUUUCCGUAGGUGAACCUGCGGAAGGAUCAUUAAUGAAGUGCUCUCAAUCUUUCGAGAUUGAACCUCUCUUCCAUAAACCCUUGUGAACAAAUCUUUGUUGCUUUGGCGGAUUAUAAUCUUUGCAAAAAGAAUUGCCGCCAAGGGCUUUAAUAUAUUUUCUGCGUUUUUGUAUUGUCUGAUAAUUUAUUUUAAAAAAAAUAAAACUUUCAACAAUGGAUCUCUUGGCUCUUGCAUCGAUGAAGAACGCAGC
Molecule: unclassified non-coding RNA, 291 nt
Filed under: uncultured fungus
Lineage: Eukaryota; Fungi
Description: partial contains small subunit ribosomal RNA, internal transcribed spacer 1, and 5.8S ribosomal RNA
Rfam family: Eukaryotic small subunit ribosomal RNA (bases 1-73)
Source: RNAcentral